UACGGAGGGUGCAAGCGUUGUUCGGAAUUAUUGGGCGUAAAGCGCACGUAGGCGGCUCGGUAAGUCGGCUGUGAAAUCCCUCGGCUCAACCAAGGAAGUGCAUCCGAAACUGCCGAGCUUGAGUACUUAAGAGGAUCGCGGAAUUCCCGGUGUAGAGGUGAAAUGCGUAGAUAUCGGGAGGAACACCAGUGGCGAAGGCGACUACCUGGCCUGUUCUUGACGCUGAGGCGCGAAAGCUAGGGGAGCAAACGGG
Molecule: ribosomal RNA, 253 nt
Filed under: uncultured bacterium
Lineage: Bacteria
Description: partial 16S ribosomal RNA
Rfam family: Bacterial small subunit ribosomal RNA
Source: RNAcentral